AUGGGAACCCGCAAUCAGCUUUGGUCGAUCGCCAAGAUGUCGGUGACCGGGGGUGUAAUCGGCAUCACCAUUUCCGACCGCUACGUCACCGUGGUGGCCAUAAAGGGCCACUCGAUGCAUCCCACCAUGACGGGCACCGACAGCGCCUUGCGAGGUGACAUCGUGUUAGCGGAGAAGGGCUGCCUCGAUCAGUACAAAUUCUCCCGUGGAGAUGUCAUUUUGUUCAAAUGCCCUAGUAAUCACAAGGAAGUGUUUGUGAAGAGACUGAUUGGCUUACCUGGUGAGUGGAUACAGCUCCCUGCGUCUUCUGAGAUAAUUAAGGUCCCACAGGGGCAUUGCUGGGUUGAAGGGGAUAAUGCUGCUAGAAGCUGGGAUUCAAGAUCAUUUGGCCCAAUCCCUUUAGGCCUAAUAAACGGGAGGGUCACCCACAUCAUCUGGCCGCCGUCGAAGAUGGGCAGAGUGGAGAGAAAAUGGCCCGAAGAUAGAAUCCCGCCGUUUUGA
This 501-nucleotide ribosomal RNA is filed under the name Triticum aestivum (bread wheat). RNAcentral describes it as "partial small subunit ribosomal RNA". The record is from RNAcentral. Lineage: Eukaryota; Viridiplantae; Streptophyta; Magnoliopsida; Poales; Poaceae.